Molecule: non-coding RNA, 212 nt
Organism: Neolamprologus brichardi
Lineage: Eukaryota; Metazoa; Chordata; Actinopteri; Cichliformes; Cichlidae
Source: RefSeq, a predicted model, not a curated record
CGGACAGUCGGGGAUGAGUGCGCUAACAUACCUGUAGGUUGCUGAUUUAAUGAGCGUUUGAUGGAAAAAGACAGUCGCAUGAUAGGUCUGGACUUUGGGUCCUGCUAUCCUGCCUGCACACAGCCUACAUGACAGAAAGUAUGCAGCUCUCAUUAUUUCUCUGAUGGCCAAAGACUGCAGAUACCUCCUGGAGACUCUUCUGUACAAUCCUG